GAUGAACGCUGGCGGCGUGCUUAACACAUGCAAGUCGAACGGAAAGGCUCCUGCUUGCAGGGGUACUCGAGUGGCGAACGGGUGAGUAGCACGUGGGUGAUCUGCCCUGCACUUCGGGAUAAGCCUGGGAAACUGGGUCUAAUACCGGAUAGGACCACAUUUUGGGUGGUGUGGUGGAAAGUUUUUCGGUGUGGGAUGAGCUCGCGGCCUAUCAGCUUGUUGGUGGGGUAAUGGCCUACCAAGGCGUCGACGGGUAGCCGGCCUGAGAGGGUGUACGGCCACAUUGGGACUGAGAUACGGCCCAGACUCCUACGGGAGGCAGCAGUGGGGAAUAUUGCACAAUGGGCGCAAGCCUGAUGCAGCAACGCCGCGUGGGGGAUGACGGCCUUCGGGUUGUAAACUCCUUUCGCUAGGGACGAAGCGCAAGUGACGGUACCUGGAGAAGAAGCACCGGCUAACUACGUG
RNAcentral lists this ribosomal RNA (465 nucleotides) under uncultured bacterium. RNAcentral describes it as "partial 16S ribosomal RNA". It matches the Rfam family "Bacterial small subunit ribosomal RNA", at positions 28 to 507 of the family's 1533-position model. The record is from RNAcentral.